CAGGACAUACUUUAUUCAGCUGGGUGCUGAAAAACAAUCUUGGAAAUUAGGAAACUGAAUGAGGCCUCAUUUCACACUCAGAAUGUGGGUUGCAGUAGUCACUUCCUCUGCUGCUGGGAAAGAAAGAAUUAUACUACCUUUUGAAUUUUGGAUUAAGGAGACAGGUGUUGGCUUGUCAAACUACCGUGUAUUCCUCAAGACAUAUUUUUGUGGCUUUAUAAAAUUCAAUAUAUAUUUCUAAAUUCAAAUAUAUUUUGUUGCAAUCUGGCCCUUGGACAAAAUGAGGCCCUGGCAACUGAUAUUUAUGGCUUCCCAUAGAACCUUUCAGAUAAAAUUUACACAGCAUUUUACUGCAGCUAUUUCACAUAAAGCAGAGGAUUUUGCCACAAAACUGAAAGAAAAAAGAAACUGCAUUCUUAAAUUUUUUAUAAAUCAAAAGGUAUAAAAAUAUCUACCUAAACGAUAAAGGAGAUGAGAAACCCACCCGUGAUGGGAAGAAAGCCUAUUUCAGUUUUGCCUUUACUUCAAGUUCUUUUUUCCCUAUCUGGAAUGCAAUCGGAAUUUUAAUCUUGCCUUGGGUUCCUCCUGGAUUUGGGGAGAAGAAAAAAUCUGAAAAUCUCAAAUCUGCAUGUGUUCCGCUGCAUAUCUUCCAGAUACGGAAGGAUCACACUGCACAGAGUGCUGUACUUGCAGGAGCCCCGCUUCUCAACCUCCAUUGCUUUAUGAAUGAAUUCACCGGAAAGAAAAGGAAGAAUCAACACUUUCAGAGAUGGAGACUAUUGAGCCACCGUAUCAACUAGUCGAUGCUGAAUCCGACUUCUCCCUUUCUACAUUGCCUGAGAGAAGUCUUGGGGAAUACUCUAGAGUCAAGGGAUUGGAUUGUGGAUUGCAUUGGUGGUUUUCCUCAGUUUCCUCAUCUUCUCCCCAAGUUUCUACAUAUUGAAUGCAGAGCAGCCCUUCUUCAAAGGACCUCCUACUGAACCUGCUAAGGAACUCAGUCUGUAGCUCUGCGUGGAGCCAUGUGUAAACACUGAACUGAGGCCUGCCACCUCCUACUACCUAAGGGCCCCUUUUCAUCUGAGAUCAUCCCCCAGAAACAAACUCAUGCUGACUUUCAUGUUUUUUUAGAUUACAUACAUGGAGAAUUUUCCUUUCCCUUAGAAUUAAAAUCCUGCAUUCUAAUUUUCA
This 1188-nucleotide long non-coding RNA is filed under the name Pongo abelii (Sumatran orangutan). RNAcentral describes it as "lincRNA". The record is from RNAcentral. Lineage: Eukaryota; Metazoa; Chordata; Mammalia; Primates; Hominidae.